This 117-nucleotide non-coding RNA is filed under the name Pan troglodytes (chimpanzee). Lineage: Eukaryota; Metazoa; Chordata; Mammalia; Primates; Hominidae. The record is from Rfam by way of RNAcentral.
GCUGGGCGUGGUGGCUCACGCCUGUACUCCCAGCACUUUGGGAGGCCGAGGCGGGAGGAUCACCUGAGGUCGGGAGUUCGAGACCAGCCUGACCAACAUGGAGAAACCCCGUCUCUA